UAAUCCCAUUUUAUAUUUGUGUAAACUGAGGCUGAGAAACAGUAAAAAGUGACAUGCCCAGAGUCACAAAGCUAGCAGUCUAUGAGCUAAAGUCUAUGAGGUGGAGAGCUCUGUUUAAAAAUUGGCUUUCACUUGUUGAUAUAUUCCUUGCAUGGCUUCAAUAAAAAUGUAAACCAGGGACUUUUUGUUGAUUCUAAGGCUAUUUAGUGGGUAUUACACAGUGACUUGCUAGUACUGAAAAAUCCAAGUGUCUGGUAAAUGUCCAGAGCUUUGGUACAGAUCCUAAAUGAAGCCAGUAAAAGGAGAAAGAGCUGCAGUUUCUCUAGAGGAAACACGAGACUUUCCAGGACUUUGUACAAAUCUACUUCCUUGACUCCUGUCUAGCCUGAUGGCAUGAUACAGCGCAGAUAGAUACAGAACGUUCCGCCACUUCCAAAACACGAAUAGAAAGUACCAAGUUUAUACCUACAGAGAAGGAUCGAUUCUGCUUGGGACGGGAUGCGUUUGGUCGAAGAUCAGAUGGUAACAUAGUAGAAGCCUGUGACUGCUGAAUGGGACAGGCAUGACUCUUCCCCAAAUGAGCUCUCCUUCUCCUCUUCAGUCUUCCAUGCUUGCAAAGGACAACUGGAGGUGCACUGGUGAACAGAACCAAAGUGUCUUCUUACUAUCCCCCUUAUACAGUCCUGCAUAUUCAACUCCUAAACCUGAAAACAGAAUCAACAAAGGGAGGACAAUUUGUGUAUGGAUAUUGCUAUUUCCCAGCCUGCCUGCCUGUCUGACUCCUUUUCCCACUGGAUACUCAGUUAUAAAGAAUUAAGAGCCGAAUGGAGUUUUAAAGAUCAUCUAGCCUUCAAAAAUGUAAAUUGACAGAAUAUUAACAACAGAAACAAAACUGAAUAUGUGUGUAAUUAUAAUGAUGAAGUGGGUCCACAAAGGAGAGAUGACAAAGUGCACUCCACUGCCUUCUUCCC
RNAcentral lists this long non-coding RNA (971 nucleotides) under Monodelphis domestica (gray short-tailed opossum). Its description in RNAcentral is "lncRNA (ENSMODG00000049546.1)". The record is from RNAcentral. Lineage: Eukaryota; Metazoa; Chordata; Mammalia; Didelphimorphia; Didelphidae.